UCAAGAAUAUUCCUCAAUGGACGAAAGUCUGAAGGAGCGACGCCGCGUGCCGGAUGAAGUCUUUCGGGAUGUAAACGGCUUUUAUUAGGGAACAAAUUUUGAGUGUACCUAAAGAAUAAGGGGCUGCUAACUUCGUGCCAGCAGCAGCGGUAAUACGAAGGCCCCGAGCGUUAUCCGGAUUUAUUGGGUGUAAAGAGUUCAACGGCGGUUAGGUAAGUUGAGAGUCAAAUACCAGGGCUCAACCUUGGUACUGCUUUCAAUACUGCCCAACUUGAGGGUGGAAGAGGCAAGCGGAAUUGUCGGUGUAGCGGUGAAAUGCGUUGAUAUCGACAAGAACACCAAUAGCGAAGGCAGCUUGCUAGUACACAUCUGACGCUUCAAGAACGAAAGCGUGGGGAGCGAAUGGG
This 407-nucleotide ribosomal RNA is filed under the name uncultured bacterium. Its description in RNAcentral is "bacterial SSU rRNA". It matches the Rfam family "Bacterial small subunit ribosomal RNA", at positions 355 to 776 of the family's 1533-position model. The record is from RNAcentral.